Molecule: ribosomal RNA, 104 nt
Filed under: uncultured bacterium
Lineage: Bacteria
Description: partial 16S ribosomal RNA
Rfam family: Bacterial small subunit ribosomal RNA
Source: RNAcentral
CUUGUACACACCGCCCGUCACACCAUAGGAGCGGGUUCUGCCAGAAGUAGUUAGCCUAACCGCAAGGAGGGCGAAUUACCACGGCAGGGUUCGUGACUGGGGUG